Molecule: long non-coding RNA, 7079 nt
Organism: Equus asinus (donkey)
Lineage: Eukaryota; Metazoa; Chordata; Mammalia; Perissodactyla; Equidae
Source: Ensembl
UCUUUUGUUUGGGAAGGUGGGGAGAAACCUUGUCUAUAUUAUCCAGAAGCGCAGAUAUUUGUUUGACACAAUAUUUAAAUUCAGCCCAAUCUUUAAUAUUAAAUUUUCUAUUUAAAUUGCUGGGAAAGCUGGACACCUUUGCAAUUAUAGGAAAAUAAUGUAGAUUUCUAAAGUUAUAAGUCCUGAUAAAACACUGCAAUUAAUGUCUAAUAAACACUUGGCUUACAGAAGAAACUCUCUGUAGUUCAUAGUCUAAAGUUGUUCCCAAACCAUGUCAUCGUCACAAAACUUUCUUUACCAAGAAAAAAGUAAAAUGUUUGAGACAGGAAGAGAGGGGAGAAGCGUGGACAGGGAGAAGUCAGUGAGCUCUGAGCAUCAGGGCUGGGGAUGGGGAGGCCAGUGGUACGUGGUACCUGGUUGGGACCUGCUGCUGGCAAUCUGUUUUGACCUCGUAGGGGGUUCCCCGGAGAUCAGUCUGCAGUUUGAGAACCCUCAAUUUAAGAAGAGCCUCAACAAUUUGUUAUGAGAGUUUGGUCAAAUACUUUCUCAUUAAGUCAGGAUCUAAAAUUGAUGAAUUCAAAAUUUAUAUAUUCUUCAAACCAUGUUUAUUGGAGCUGAAAAUGUUAAAAGACUGUCAAUACUAAUGGAGAAAAAGACUAAGACCUGAAAUUUAAAAUUAUUCAAAUGCGCAAGGGUUGAUGUUGAUCAUAGCCAUCUUGAGUUCAUUUCUGUAUGUGUGUGUGUGAAAAGCAUUUGAUGUGUGACAUUGUUCAUGUAAUCAUAGCUCUGGCCAUUUUGAAGUCAUUUUCAUCUUAAAACAUUUUGAGGAUGAUACCUUGUAAAAUAGUAAGUCUUUCUUAGCAUUUGCCUUCACUUUUGAGAAGGAAAAAAUCCUUUGCCAUUCCUUUAAGAAGAAUAACUAAGAUGAGCUAUUAUCCAGGUUUGCAUAGACGGUGCACACAAUACCAGUGUGAGCUUGGACAGGAAUAGAAUAAAUAAAUUCUCUCCUCAUUAAAGGCUGAUGCUAAUCCUGUUCUGUCUCAUUCUUUUCUUAGUCCAAGAGACUGGAAUGGGACACCCCUGAGGUUUCCAGUAAGAUAUCUGAAAGGAUUCCAUCAGGAGCGCAGGAAAUAUGUUUUUUCUCAGAGUUGUCCAGUUUCCACCUGCGUGUCCGUAUGGUUUGUGAACUCUUGCUUUCUUCUCAGCAUCCUGAUCCAUGAGCGCUUCCUUGCUUGGCUUUCUCCUCUUGGCUUCGCGAAAUGCAGUCAGCUUGAGUGGCUCUUGGGUUGACUCUAACCUGGAUCUCCCUUCCUCUCUUCUCUUCCUUCCUCUUUGAAUGGUGUUUCCUUAAUCUGUGAGGGUGAUGCUGGUGGGUAACAGCUAGCUUCUGGCACCUUCAUAAAAUACCUCAGCAUAGCUUAGCAUUGUUGCAACUGGUUUUAAACUAAAAACCAAAUAAAUAAGUAAAAAGAAAAAAACUUUAUAAAUAGUGGAAAUAAUUCUAGCUGUAGCAUUUAGUUGAACCGAUGUUUAUUAUGAUUGAUGAACAUGAUUGAUGCUGUAUGUAUUUGGGAUCCUGCUUAUAGGUUACCGUUUAUAGGGUUAGGGAGGGUUGGGGUGGGGGAAGAGGAGAAGUUGAUUAUGUUAGAAGGAAAACCUUGCUCAUAUGUGUUUGUUUGUUUUCCUUAUAUCUGUCUUGCCAAAGGAAACUUGAUUAUCCCUGUGAUUGGGUUUGGGAUUCGUUGGCCUCUCUGUGGUCUGACCUGCAGUGCAGUGUGGUGGCAUGCAGGUUACACAUGGGUUAUCCAGUAGGUUCAGGGUCCCCUAGGGCAUUUACAUCCCUUCCCAUGGCUGCCCAUGUCCCCAGACCCUGCCAGCCUCUCUGAUGAUUCAUUACCUCUGUGUGUAGCAAGAGCUUAGGCAAAGGAUGAAUGUGUGAAUGUCUGGGUGUGUCGUGGAGAAAUAGAGGCAGAAGUAGACAUGCCUCAUUUAAUUUGAAGAGGAGAGGAGAGACGAGUUUGAUGCAUCCUAAUCUAGGAACAUUAAAAUAAAACAGGUUCUUUUUGUCAGCCUCUGUCAUGUUGUUGAGUGUUGUGCUGGUAGCACAACGUUCUAAAACCCUACUUCCUUUUCUCUUGCCAACGCUAAUUCUGUCUAGACCAAAAACGCAAGCAGAAGAAAAACCAAACCAAGAAGUUGGAAGCCAGCCUGCUUCCUCACACCUGGGGUCGGGUGUGACCUUUAGGGAUUGGCUGGUUGGUGAGACUGAGGAGAGUAUUGUUGGUGGCAAUGUGAGUGAGAAAUGGUGCCAGUUUAGGAAAAAUUAAGAGCCCUUUCUGCCCAUCCUUUGGGACAGAUUUCUUGGCUUCCCGAGUUCAGAUAAAGCCUAUAUUUCCAGAAAGGCUAUUUUUAAAUAAACAAUCCAUCUCACAGAACUUAAGUGGGAUUUGGUUUGGAUACCAAAGACACUUCCAUGUCAUUGUCUAUCCUUAUGUUUGCAAAACAGGCAGAGGGAAUAGGAGAAAAGGCUGGAAUCUGGAAAAGCUUUCCUUUUGUCUCUUUCCUUUUCCUCUCCCCUCUCUUCUUCCCCCCCGCCCCGUUCUCCACUUUUUGAAGGAUGUCUCCUUGGUUAUCCUGGCUUUGGAAAGGAGACUUACUGAGUUUCACUCUGCUGGCUCCGUGAAGGUGGAUAGUCGCUCAGUGCAGCAGUGAUGUUCUUGGAAUUGCUGGGAAAUUUAGGGGAGGGAAGAAGAUGGGGGUGGAAUUCUUAUCGUUGUUUCCCUUUAUCUAACACUUAUAAAUAGAACCAGUACAGCCUGUUUGAGCUCAGGCGGUAUUUAGAUGUGCUUCUGUGCCGUCUGUUCCGUCACGUGUAAAGGAUAAGCAUUUUCAAGAGCAGGAUGGCCUGGAAAACUAGCAGGCCUUCCUUUCCCCCCUUGGAGCUGCACUGCUCCAUGGGUUUUGUGUGUGGCUCCAGAAGCUGGGUAGUUCAUUGUUCUGGUGACUCUUGAUGGGACACAGAAAGGGAGAGGGGAACGAAACUUAAUGCUCUCUUAAUAUGCCAUCAAAAACAAUCAGGUUGCAGAACUUCAUGAAAGCUUUACUAGUCAUCUUACUGUUCUGACAUUGUGUAAAAGUGGUAUUAACAUUGUGUGACCUUUCAAAGCGCUACGUAGGUUUAUAAGUAGGUAACGGGGAUAUUGAAGAUCAGAGCACUUGAAACAAAGUUAUGGGGAAACAGGUGUGCAUGGUGGAACCCCACUUUGAGCAGGCAAGUGACACUCCCUGGGGCUCAGGAGGGAAGGUUCCGUUUGUGAUUCUUUCUGUGUCCCCGGAUCUGCCCACUCUGCGCAGAGCUCCGCCACCCAGCGCCCCUUCUGCUUCAAACCCAGGACACUGUCAGAAAGUUCACCCCAAAACUAAUUUACUAUAAAAACAUUGAGGUCUGCUGCAAAGUUCCCUGACUUUCCCUGGUUUAUUCAUCCGUCCUUGUUUCGGGCCGGCCACAGCCGACACAGAAGCAGCCUUAGGCUUCCUUCGUAACUGGGCUGCAGCGUUGGGUCCCCUAACGCUGCACCCCAAGUCUGCAGGCAGACAGCCGGCCGCAGUGCUGUUAACAAGAGGGGACAUCCAAACACUUGCUCAAAGGUGGGAUCUCCUUCGACCGAGAAAGGACAGAGGCAAGAGGAGAAAAGACUCUGCGCUCCCACCCAGCCCUCACAGUGUCUCAAGGUCUUAACGAUAGAGCAGGAAAUGAAAUGCACUUUCAGAAGCUAAAAGGACAGUUGGGAUAGGAAAGGCUGUCGUAGGCGGGGGGGGGGGGGGGGGGUGCCAUGUCUUUGGCUCCGACCCUGCUCUGCACAAGGCACAUACUUCUAAGAGGACAGUGGACCACUGCCUGCCUGGUUGUGUUUAAAACGGCAGACAGUUGGGAGGGGAAAAAAGGAGGGAGCAUAUGACUUUGCAACCAUAUUAUAACAUUGGCUUUCCACAACAUAAAUGGUGUGUCUCCUGUGUCCCCUGAGUUCAGAUAAAGAGGAGAAACAGGCAUCUCCCAGCUUCUUGCCUCUGCUUGAGUGGGCACGUGUGCAUUACCCACUCCACAGAGCCUCCCUCUCCGAGGACACGCCCUCCUCCCACGGUAGACCGUGGCCCCACUUCCUCCAUCUGUGGCAGUAGCACAGGCUAGGUGAGUAAGCGUGGGGCUCCUGCCCACCACACGUCCGGGAGCUGUCGUAUACCUCAUUUCUAACUCGUGACCGAGUAACUUGCUUUAACUUUCUCUAAACCCUACAGAGUUGCCAAGUCUGCCCUCCCUCUGAGUAAUGUUGAACUCUGGCCUAUAGCAUCACGGGACCUGGAGCCUAGGGUGGGACCUCGUAAAGCCUCUGAAUGUCGCUGCUUACAAGCUACUGCAAACUGAGGGCAAAUUGCAAUCUUCUCUUUCUUUUUGUUGCAAGGGGUCUUCACAGGUCUCCUAACAUCUGCUUUCCCCAGCACCCUGCCUGGAGCGGCUGGCCAGCUCUCCGCACCCCGCCCCCUCCCACCUGUCUGACUGCUGGCUGCACAGUAACUCUUGUACUUGCCUUUCCCCCAGUGGGUGGAGGCCAUCCCUUCCCCUCUGAGGCCUCAGGGUUCUGCUUAUUUUCAGGACUUUGGGUGGAAGGGAAGACACCAAAGGCUCCCUUAAGCUGACUGCUGCGUACACAUUUCACUUUUUUCCUUUGACAUGACCAAAAAGAAAAAAUCCAAAUAUUUAAGUUUUUAUUAUUAAUGUUGUUAUUAUUUGACAAUCUUAUAUCCACCAGGCUCUCUAGAAGCUGCAUCCCCAGCCCUUUCACCUUUUCUUUGAAUGUAGUUCCCCGACCCUCAGCUCCCACCCCAGCGCUGGGAAAGCUCUGCCAGGUCUUGAUACUGCUGCUGUAAGCCAGGGAGGGUGGUUUCUUUGUUUUGUUUUGUUUUGUUUUGUUUAAAUUUCCAGCCAAAACCAAAGAUUUCUUAAUGAUUGUAUAAACUCAAAACAAACAAAAAAACCAAAGAAAAGGGAAGUCUUCAGCGUCAGUCCAGUCUGUGGCGUCCUGGCGUUUGGCGGAGGGAGGCCAGCAGGCGGGGCCCUCCGCAGGGGAGGCCGGGGGUCUGUGCCCCACGCCGGGGUCUACAGAGGUGCCUCCCAGGAGCUCUGGCUCUUUCAGCUGUGCACGUGCUGUGGAACACAUUGGCAUUUCAGAUAUUCCAAAACCAUAGACAAAACCCCGUCGCCACGAUUGUCCACGGACACUAACACGUCACACGGGAGCUUAGCGCGGCCGUGGACACCACAGAGUGGGGGAGCUGGAGACGCUGGCGCACGAUUGGCGGCUCUGCUGGGUGCUCUGACCUCUGGGCCGUGAGGGGAACACACACCCACGGGCCCUUCUGAGCCUUUCUUCUCUUUUCCUGUACUGGAACUGCUUGGAAGUGGCUGUCCUGUUUGUGAGGAAACAUGCAGAACGAUGAUCGAGCUUGUCAUUUCUCCUUCUUGUGGUCGGUUUCUUUUUCAGCGCCACUGUGCAACUAUGCAUUGUGUUCACGACCUUUCGCUCUAGGCAGAUGCCUGUGACUUUUUAACUUGGGGGGUGGGGGGCUUGCAAAUGAAGGGACUUUUUACAUGGAUCUUUUUAAUCUCAGUUGAUUGGGGGAGGGGGUCUGGUUCUAGGGUCAUACAAGCUCUAUCCCAAAGCAAAAUCCAAAUGUUAAUAAUAUUAGCCUGAUGCAGAUACCAAAGAUGAUUUCUUUCCUGCAGAACCUUAGACUUGUGUAUUAAGUACGAUUACCCAGCACUUGCAUUAGUCUAACCUCAGUAAUUCCAAAGCUUAGAUGUAUAUUUUGGUAUAUUUCUGGGAUAUUAAAAAAAAUGUCGUUUAACUUCUUGUUUGUUUCAGUGUAAUGCCCUUAAAGUCAUAGCAUGAAAAUAACUGAACUGUCCUAUUCUUAGUAGUUUGAAAUAAUAGUAUUUUUGUAUGUUUGGGGUGUGUCUAUGUAUGUAUUGACAUAACAGUUUUCACUGCCUAGGUGUUCAUAAUAAAAAAGAAAAUGAAAACAUUCUGAGUGUACAUAAGAUUUAGUAAUAAACUUCCACUAGGUUCAAUUUGGGUUGCAUAUUCACUGAUUACUGUUCCCAGCUGGGAUUUUGUUUUGUUUUAAAGAGACAGUGAUCAUGUUUUUUCUAAAGGUGUUUUCUUUCUAUCUUUAAAUAUCUUAACUCCCCCACCUUUUUCUUUUCUUCUUGUUUUUUAAAGAUAUUGAUUCAGGGGUGUUUUUCCACUGUUGUCAAGGGAGGGUCACAAGGGGAAAUUGACCCCUUGGUCUCCCAAAACUUUUUGUUUUAUGUACUUAACUUUAAAAUGUGAGUUUGAGUUCUCUUUUGUGGAAACUUAAGAUGUGGUGUAAAUGAUUCUUUCCAAACUUGUCCAGCAGCUUUACUGAGGCAGUGACAAUUCCUGAGUGGUUUAUUGGGAGUCCUCUGACAUUUCUCCGUAGGUGACUCUGCAGUCUGGGUGGCUGUUGUAUGGCUUCACUGCCCAGGGCACCCGGUUAGCCGUUUCCCCUCUGAUAGGAAUAUUUUAUAAGAAUCAGCUCAUAACUUGGAGUUCAGGACCUUGUUACCUGGGCCCUGGGAAACACACAUUUUCUUGGUUUUGAAAACCCAAAACACACGCAACUUUACAUUUAGGGGAAUUAGCUGGUCCCUCCCGAGGCCUGAGGAGGUGAUGGGGACUAUGAGUGGUGCUGUCUCUUUAAAGUGCCCUUUACAUGAUUCCCCCUCCUGGGGCUGCCUGCAGGGGCUGCAGGCUUGGGAGAGGUUGUGUAGGUGACAGUGAAUCAGAAUGAAAUGAUAGAUUUUGUGUAGAUGCAUUUGUCUGCUGUAAUUUUUUAUAUAUAUUAAACUUACUGUAACUGUACAGUUCAUUUCUGUUGUAAAACAUCAUUAAACCAUUUUCCAAGUGUUUUCACAUGGUUUGAGUUUCUUUGAAGUUGCUGUGUUGGUGUUCUGGACGCUUCACGCAUGCGUUCCCACAGACUGCUCACGUGGCCUCCCG